This 2903-nucleotide ribosomal RNA is filed under the name Escherichia coli. RNAcentral's name for it is "23S ribosomal RNA". It matches the Rfam family "Bacterial large subunit ribosomal RNA". Lineage: Bacteria; Pseudomonadati; Pseudomonadota; Gammaproteobacteria; Enterobacterales; Enterobacteriaceae. The record is from RNAcentral.
GUUAAGCGACUAAGCGUACACGGUGGAUGCCCUGGCAGUCAGAGGCGAUGAAGGACGUGCUAAUCUGCGAUAAGCGUCGGUAAGGUGAUAUGAACCGUUAUAACCGGCGAUUUCCGAAUGGGGAAACCCAGUGUGUUUCGACACACUAUCAUUAACUGAAUCCAUAGGUUAAUGAGGCGAACCGGGGGAACUGAAACAUCUAAGUACCCCGAGGAAAAGAAAUCAACCGAGAUUCCCCCAGUAGCGGCGAGCGAACGGGGAGCAGCCCAGAGCCUGAAUCAGUGUGUGUGUUAGUGGAAGCGUCUGGAAAGGCGCGCGAUACAGGGUGACAGCCCCGUACACAAAAAUGCACAUAUUGUGAGCUCGAUGAGUAGGGCGGGACACGUGGUAUCCUGUCUGAAUAUGGGGGGACCAUCCUCCAAGGCUAAAUACUCCUGACUGACCGAUAGUGAACCAGUACCGUGAGGGAAAGGCGAAAAGAACCCCGGCGAGGGGAGUGAAAAAGAACCUGAAACCGUGUACGUACAAGCAGUGGGAGCCUCUUUUAUGGGGUGACUGCGUACCUUUUGUAUAAUGGGUCAGCGACUUAUAUUCUGUAGCAAGGUUAACCGAAUAGGGGAGCCGAAGGGAAACCGAGUCUUAACUGGGCGUUAAGUUGCAGGGUAUAGACCCGAAACCCGGUGAUCUAGCCAUGGGCAGGUUGAAGGUUGGGUAACACUAACUGGAGGACCGAACCGACUAAUGUUGAAAAAUUAGCGGAUGACUUGUGGCUGGGGGUGAAAGGCCAAUCAAACCGGGAGAUAGCUGGUUCUCCCCGAAAGCUAUUUAGGUAGCGCCUCGUGAAUUCAUCUCCGGGGGUAGAGCACUGUUUCGGCAAGGGGGUCAUCCCGACUUACCAACCCGAUGCAAACUGCGAAUACCGGAGAAUGUUAUCACGGGAGACACACGGCGGGUGCUAACGUCCGUCGUGAAGAGGGAAACAACCCAGACCGCCAGCUAAGGUCCCAAAGUCAUGGUUAAGUGGGAAACGAUGUGGGAAGGCCCAGACAGCCAGGAUGUUGGCUUAGAAGCAGCCAUCAUUUAAAGAAAGCGUAAUAGCUCACUGGUCGAGUCGGCCUGCGCGGAAGAUGUAACGGGGCUAAACCAUGCACCGAAGCUGCGGCAGCGACGCUUAUGCGUUGUUGGGUAGGGGAGCGUUCUGUAAGCCUGUGAAGGUGUGCUGUGAGGCAUGCUGGAGGUAUCAGAAGUGCGAAUGCUGACAUAAGUAACGAUAAAGCGGGUGAAAAGCCCGCUCGCCGGAAGACCAAGGGUUCCUGUCCAACGUUAAUCGGGGCAGGGUGAGUCGACCCCUAAGGCGAGGCCGAAAGGCGUAGUCGAUGGGAAACAGGUUAAUAUUCCUGUACUUGGUGUUACUGCGAAGGGGGGACGGAGAAGGCUAUGUUGGCCGGGCGACGGUUGUCCCGGUUUAAGCGUGUAGGCUGGUUUUCCAGGCAAAUCCGGAAAAUCAAGGCUGAGGCGUGAUGACGAGGCACUACGGUGCUGAAGCAACAAAUGCCCUGCUUCCAGGAAAAGCCUCUAAGCAUCAGGUAACAUCAAAUCGUACCCCAAACCGACACAGGUGGUCAGGUAGAGAAUACCAAGGCGCUUGAGAGAACUCGGGUGAAGGAACUAGGCAAAAUGGUGCCGUAACUUCGGGAGAAGGCACGCUGAUAUGUAGGUGAAGUCCCUCGCGGAUGGAGCUGAAAUCAGUCGAAGAUACCAGCUGGCUGCAACUGUUUAUUAAAAACACAGCACUGUGCAAACACGAAAGUGGACGUAUACGGUGUGACGCCUGCCCGGUGCCGGAAGGUUAAUUGAUGGGGUUAGCGCAAGCGAAGCUCUUGAUCGAAGCCCCGGUAAACGGCGGCCGUAACUAUAACGGUCCUAAGGUAGCGAAAUUCCUUGUCGGGUAAGUUCCGACCUGCACGAAUGGCGUAAUGAUGGCCAGGCUGUCUCCACCCGAGACUCAGUGAAAUUGAACUCGCUGUGAAGAUGCAGUGUACCCGCGGCAAGACGGAAAGACCCCGUGAACCUUUACUAUAGCUUGACACUGAACAUUGAGCCUUGAUGUGUAGGAUAGGUGGGAGGCUUAGAAGUGUGGACGCCAGUCUGCAUGGAGCCGACCUUGAAAUACCACCCUUUAAUGUUUGAUGUUCUAACGUGGACCCGUAAUCCGGGUUGCGGACAGUGUCUGGUGGGUAGUUUGACUGGGGCGGUCUCCUCCUAAAGAGUAACGGAGGAGCACGAAGGUUGGCUAAUCCUGGUCGGACAUCAGGAGGUUAGUGCAAUGGCAUAAGCCAGCUUGACUGCGAGCGUGACGGCGCGAGCAGGUGCGAAAGCAGGUCAUAGUGAUCCGGUGGUUCUGAAUGGAAGGGCCAUCGCUCAACGGAUAAAAGGUACUCCGGGGAUAACAGGCUGAUACCGCCCAAGAGUUCAUAUCGACGGCGGUGUUUGGCACCUCGAUGUCGGCUCAUCACAUCCUGGGGCUGAAGUAGGUCCCAAGGGUAUGGCUGUUCGCCAUUUAAAGUGGUACGCGAGCUGGGUUUAGAACGUCGUGAGACAGUUCGGUCCCUAUCUGCCGUGGGCGCUGGAGAACUGAGGGGGGCUGCUCCUAGUACGAGAGGACCGGAGUGGACGCAUCACUGGUGUUCGGGUUGUCAUGCCAAUGGCACUGCCCGGUAGCUAAAUGCGGAAGAGAUAAGUGCUGAAAGCAUCUAAGCACGAAACUUGCCCCGAGAUGAGUUCUCCCUGACCCUUUAAGGGUCCUGAAGGAACGUUGAAGACGACGACGUUGAUAGGCCGGGUGUGUAAGCGCAGCGAUGCGUUGAGCUAACCGGUACUAAUGAACCGUGAGGCUUAACCUU